Molecule: transfer RNA, 70 nt
Filed under: Dipodomys ordii (Ord's kangaroo rat)
Lineage: Eukaryota; Metazoa; Chordata; Mammalia; Rodentia; Heteromyidae
Rfam family: tRNA
About the family: Transfer RNA (tRNA) molecules are approximately 80 nucleotides in length. Their secondary structure includes four short double-helical elements and three loops (D, anti-codon, and T loops).
Source: Rfam by way of RNAcentral
GGGAAUGUGGCUUAGUGGUAGAGUGCUUGCCUAACAUGCAUGAAGCCCUGGGUUUGAUUCCUCAGUACUA